This 318-nucleotide long non-coding RNA is filed under the name Androctonus crassicauda. The record is from RNAcentral. Lineage: Eukaryota; Metazoa; Arthropoda; Arachnida; Scorpiones; Buthidae.
UCAAAGCACAGAUCGUAUCUUGAGCAAGGCCCUAAAGCAUAAACAUACCAGAAUGACAAAAAGACGUGGCUCCACCAUAUUUGAUGUGCUCCGCAACGACAAAGAUCGAGUCAAUGAGGGAAGACAAGCAGGCAUUUAUAGCAUUCCAUUAUAUAACGUAGAGGAAGAUAUUAUGCAAUAUUGUAUGGGCAGCACAGGGAGGGGCCUGAACAGGAGGAUGGGGGAGCAUGUGUCUGGCAUGAAGGAGGGUGGGAUGGAUACUGCACUGAGUGUGGGGGCCUACGAAGGGGACAUCGACGUCAAGUGGAGCCGGGCAUG